ACUGUAUAAUCCCUGCGGGGGAAAGAUUUAUCGCUAUUAGAUGAGCCUACGUUAGAUUAGCUAGUUGGUAAGGUAAUGGCUUACCAAGGCUAUGAUCUAUAGCUGGUCUGAGAGGACGAUCAGCCACACUGGAACUGAGAUACGGUCCAGACUCCUACGGGAGGCAGCAGUGGGGAAUAUUGGACAAUGGGCGAAAGCCUGAUCCAGCUAUGCCGCGUGAGUGAAGAAGGCCUUCGGGUUGUAAAGCUCUUUCAAUAGGGAAG
This 263-nucleotide ribosomal RNA is filed under the name Ehrlichia ewingii. RNAcentral's name for it is "partial 16S ribosomal RNA". It matches the Rfam family "Bacterial small subunit ribosomal RNA", at positions 168 to 447 of the family's 1533-position model. Lineage: Bacteria; Pseudomonadati; Pseudomonadota; Alphaproteobacteria; Rickettsiales; Anaplasmataceae. The record is from RNAcentral.